GUUAGUGCCCUUCUACUGUAGUGUUAGUGGCCUUCUACUGUAGUGUUAGUGCCCUUCUACUGUAGUGUUAGUGCCCUUCUACUGUAGUGUUAGUGCCCUUCUACUGUAGUGUUAGAGUGUGUUAGAUGCCCUUCUACUGUAGUGUUAGUAGUGUAUUAGUGC
Molecule: non-coding RNA, 162 nt
Organism: Salvelinus sp. IW2-2015
Lineage: Eukaryota; Metazoa; Chordata; Actinopteri; Salmoniformes; Salmonidae
Source: RefSeq, a predicted model, not a curated record